This 164-nucleotide ribosomal RNA is filed under the name uncultured bacterium. RNAcentral's name for it is "partial 16S ribosomal RNA". It matches the Rfam family "Bacterial small subunit ribosomal RNA", at positions 348 to 509 of the family's 1533-position model. The record is from RNAcentral.
GCAGCAGUGAGGAAUAUUGGUCAAUGGGCGAGAGCCUGAACCAGCCAAGUCGCGUGAGGGAAGACGGUCCUACGGAUUGUAAACCUCUUUUGUCGGGGAGCAAUAAAGCGUACGCGUACGCAGAUGCGAGUACCCGAAGAAAAAGCAUCGGCUAACUCCGUGCC